RNAcentral lists this ribosomal RNA (218 nucleotides) under uncultured bacterium. Its description in RNAcentral is "partial 16S ribosomal RNA". It matches the Rfam family "Bacterial small subunit ribosomal RNA", at positions 560 to 777 of the family's 1533-position model. The record is from RNAcentral.
GUAAAGGGCUCGUAGGCGGUUUGUCGCGUCGGGAGUGAAAACACCGGGCUGAACUCGGUGCUUGCGUUCGAUACGGGCAGACUAGAGGUAUGCAGGGGAGAACGGAAUUCCUGGUGUAGCGGUGAAAUGCGCAGAUAUCAGGAGGAACACCGGUGGCGAAGGCGGUUCUCUGGGCAUUACCUGACGCUGAGGAGCGAAAGUGUGGGGAGCGAACAGGA